AACGAACGCUGGCGGCGCGCCUAAUACAUGCAAGUCGAGCGAGAAGACGUAGCAAUACGUUUGUAAAGCGGCGAACGGGUGAGGAAUACAUGGGUAACCUACCCUCGAGUGGGGAAUAACUAGCCGAAAGGUUAGCUAAUACCGCGUACGCUCCUUGGACUUCGGUUCAGGGAGGAAAGCGAUACCGUGGGUAUCGCGCUCUUGGAUGGGCUCAUGUCCUAUCAGCUUGUUGGUGAGGUAACGGCUCACCAAGGCUUCGACGGGUAGCUGGUCUGAGAGGACGAUCAGCCACACUGGCACUGCGACACGGGCCAGACUCCUACGGGAGGCAGCAGUAAGGAAUAUUGCGCAAUGGGCGAAAGCCUGACGCAGCGACGCCGCGUGGGGGAUGAAGGUCUUCGGAUUGUAAACCCCUUUCGGGAGGGAAGAUGGAACGAGCAAUCGUUCGGACGGUACCUCCAGAAGCAGCCACGGCUAACUUCGUGCC
This 487-nucleotide ribosomal RNA is filed under the name uncultured bacterium. RNAcentral's name for it is "bacterial SSU rRNA". It matches the Rfam family "Bacterial small subunit ribosomal RNA", at positions 29 to 509 of the family's 1533-position model. The record is from RNAcentral.